GUGAAUCAUCGAAUUUUUGAACGCAAAUUGCACUCUCUUCGGAGAGUAUGCCUGUUUGAGGGUCAGCCUAAAAAAAAUCGACAUAGUCGCUGUUUCGCGGUGACAUUCGUCGGAAAUUGGGUCAUCUUAAACCUUUGGGUUUUAUACGGGGUAAAAUUUUCUCUUCAAUUCUACAAACGCUUCUCU
This 186-nucleotide unclassified non-coding RNA is filed under the name Glomus sp. Its description in RNAcentral is "partial contains 5.8S ribosomal RNA and internal transcribed spacer 2". The stretch from base 1 to 65 matches the Rfam family "5.8S ribosomal RNA", at positions 84 to 154 of the family's 154-position model. Lineage: Eukaryota; Fungi; Glomeromycota; Glomeromycetes; Glomerales; Glomeraceae. The record is from RNAcentral.